This 306-nucleotide unclassified non-coding RNA is filed under the name Hevea brasiliensis (rubber tree). The record is from RNAcentral. Lineage: Eukaryota; Viridiplantae; Streptophyta; Magnoliopsida; Malpighiales; Euphorbiaceae.
GCUGGGUUUUGAUGACUAUGUUGAGCCUCUCACUGUGUUCCUCAACCGCUAUCGUGAGAAGGAGAAUGAGCGUAGCUCUAUGCGUGAAACAAUCCUGAAGCGCAGUAACGUUGGAGUUGUGGAUUAUGGAAAUAUUGGGAUGCCUGCUUUUGCUCCAUUUUUCCCCAUGGGACCUCCUCCACCGGGUAUUUUUGAUGGUGCAAUUAUGGGUGGAUACUACAGGAAUGUGUCCGAUCCUGCUGCUGGCCUUGGUGGUGGCUCUUCUGAUUCAAACGGCCCCCUCAACUUUGAUCCAUUUGCUCAGUU